Molecule: long non-coding RNA, 614 nt
Organism: Oncorhynchus tshawytscha (Chinook salmon)
Lineage: Eukaryota; Metazoa; Chordata; Actinopteri; Salmoniformes; Salmonidae
Source: Ensembl
GUGAGUUGUAUCUCUAGACAGAGGGACAGUUAUAGUGGUGAGUUGUAUCUCCAGAGGAACAGUUAUAGUGGUGAGUUGUAUCUCUAGACAGAGGGACAGUUAUAGUGGUGAGUUGUAUCUCCAGACAGAGGAACAGUUAUAGUGGUGAGUUGUAUCUCCAGAGGAACAGUUAUAGUGGUGAGUUGUAUCUCCAGACAGAGGGUAAGUUAUAGUGGUGAGUUGUAUCUCUAGACAGAGGAACAGUUAUAGUGGUGAGCUGUAUCUCCAGAGGAACAGUUAUAGUGGUGAGUUGUAUCUCCAGACAGAGGGACAGUUAUAGUGGUGAGUUGUAUCUCCAGACAGAGGAACAGUUAUAGUGGUGAGUUGUAUCUCCAGACAGAGUAACAGUUAUAGUGGUGAGUUGUAUCUCCAGACAGAGGAACAGUUAUAGUGGUGAGUUGUAUCUCUAGACAGAGGAACAGUUAUAGUGGUGAGUUGUAUCUCCAGACAGAGGGACAGUCAUAGUGGUGAGUUGUAUCUCCAGACAGAGGAACAGUUAUAGUGGUGUCUCUGCCUGGCCGGUUCCCCUCUUUCCACUGGGAUUCUCUGCCUCUAACCCUAUUACAGGGGCUGAG